AGCGGGGGGGGUUAUACUGGCGGGGGGGGGGCUUUAUACUCAGAGGGGGGGGUUUAUACUGGGGGGGUUUAAACUGGGAAGGGAAGGGUUUAUACUGGGAGGGGGGGGUUUAAUAUUUGGGGGGGGGCUGUUAUACUGGGAGGGGGGGUUUAUACUGGGGGGGGGGGGGGUUAAAACUGGGAAGGGGGGGGGUUUAUAUUGGGGGGGGGGGUGCUCCCAGUUGGUUGUGUUCCUAACAUACUGGAGCCAUCAGUACGGCAGAUUCCAUCCGUCGACCUGAAGGAACCAUUGAUCCGCCGUCAAAACCGGACCAGAUGCGAAUCAAAAUUUGUACUCGAAACAAUGGUGGGUUUGGGCCUGGAAGGGUCAAAUGGAACAUGGGGCGGGGGGGGGAGGCGUCCUUAAAGGGGAAAUGUGGGGUUGGGAGAGGUCCUUAAAGGGGAAAUGUGGGGUUGGGAGGGUCCUUAAAGGGGAAAUGUUGGGUUGGGAGGGUCCUGAAAGGGGAAAUGUGGGGUUGGGAGGGUCCUUAAAGGGGAAAUGUGGGGUUGGGAGGGUCCUUAAGGUUGUGGGGGUCCUUAAAGGGAAAUGUGGGUUGGAGGCGUCCUUAAAGGGGAAAUGUGGUGGGUUGGGAGGGU
This 635-nucleotide long non-coding RNA is filed under the name Coturnix japonica (Japanese quail). RNAcentral's name for it is "lncRNA (ENSCJPG00005003046.1)". Lineage: Eukaryota; Metazoa; Chordata; Aves; Galliformes; Phasianidae. The record is from RNAcentral.